GUAGCGCGGUGGACCCACCUGACCCCAUGCCGAACUCAGAAGUGAAACGCCGUAGCGCCGAUGGUAGUGUGGGGUCUCCCCAUGCGAGAGUAGGGAACUGCCAGGC
RNAcentral lists this ribosomal RNA (106 nucleotides) under Salmonella enterica. The record is from RNAcentral. RNAcentral also lists the same sequence under 2 other names. Lineage: Bacteria; Pseudomonadati; Pseudomonadota; Gammaproteobacteria; Enterobacterales; Enterobacteriaceae.